GCUGGCAUGGCUCAGUGGUUGAGCAUCAAGCUAUGAACCAGGAGAUCAGGGUUCGAUUCCCAGUCAGGGCA
Molecule: non-coding RNA, 71 nt
Organism: Myotis davidii
Lineage: Eukaryota; Metazoa; Chordata; Mammalia; Chiroptera; Vespertilionidae
Source: Rfam